Suricata suricatta (meerkat) is the source of this 773-nucleotide long non-coding RNA. RefSeq lists it as uncharacterized. The transcript has 3 exons. The record is from RefSeq and is a predicted model, not a curated record. NCBI's taxonomy places the organism in Eukaryota, Metazoa, Chordata, Mammalia, Carnivora, Herpestidae.
CUCUGGAGCCAGGAGUGACCCAGCAGGGAAGGGACCCCGCCUCGGAAGAGCUCACGCUGAGAUGACCCUCUGGGGCCCUUCCCCGCAGCGAUUGUCCUUGCCAAGCUUCCAAUGAUUGCUGGGACUUCUGGAACAGUAGUGUAGCUGUCUACUAUAAUGUUUGGCAUUCUGCUCUUGGCUUUCUCUCUGCCAGGGGUCUGGUCAUGUUCACCUAGCAUGGGAAAGCUGUAGAACUGUCUGGGACUCCAGACUGUCUGGAAGGAGUUAAAGGCAAGGCCAUCAGAUGCUCAGAUUUCCAUGUGAAGAAGUCUAAUGUAAUCAUCAGUACUGAGGAGUCAGCAGAGAGCAAGAGAGAGAAAGACCUCCAUGGAGCUCACUUUCUAGUGAUGGACAAGAAACAAACAAGAUUCCCACCUCUUUCGUGUUGACACCAUCCAUCCUUCAAGGGAACCCUGGACCUGCUGGAGCUGGACUCCGGAAAUGCUCUUUCUCAAAAAUAAAUAAACUUUAAAAAAAAACCCAUGAGAGUAGCAGAAGGAAGCAAUCAUUGGAAAGUUUGGGGAAGAGUGUUCAAGAAAAGAGGAACACUAUGUGCGUAGGCUCUGAGCUAAGAAAGCUUAGUUUGUACAGGAAGAAAGAUGGACAGGGAGGCUGGAACUGUACGUGAUGGGGAAGGGAGGCUGAGCAUAACAUCUGAGAGGGAGAACAGGUCAGGAAGAGCCUUGUGGAUCAUAGCAUAGAGCUUAGAUUUGAUUCUUUUUUUUUAAAUUUAU